CUGUAAACACUCGUCUGUAGCUGCGGUGUUAUCCCCGUUCUCUGGCCUUGAUUGGGCAGUUUAGUGGGAGGUAAGUAAUCGACAAAUACUAUAUGCGAAGGGCUGUGCAAUUAUUUUUUUUCGACGGGUUUGAUUGGUGAGGGCGGAUUAUUGCAGCGGUAAACCUGGCGCGGCGUUUACCCGGGUAGGAGGGCGGCUUGAGGGGGGAUGUCUGUUGCUGUAAACAGAGUGGGGAUCUCAUUUUGAGAGAAGAAAUAGAAGUGAGAGCAGGUCAGGACGAGAUAAAAGUACAAAAAGGAAAGAAUGAAAAGUUGAUGGUUUGGAAAAGAGAUGGUAGGUAAACAUAGUUGGUCAGAGCGUUCGACUUUAUGGAAGACUGACGUCGUGUUAAAGAAUCUGGAUCCCCAUACUGCCAUGGUACAGCUUUGGAAUCGGGAUCACCCUACAAUAUUCACGAGAAGAUGGCUAAUCCAAGUCUUUCUUUUGUCCACUACAAACAACAUGUAAACUUGAAAAAUGAAAAAAUGGACACCCAGCUGUUCCCUUCAGCCUCACUGAGUGGCAUUAACAAUUCAACAUCCUCCAGAGACACAGCUCUCCUCUGCAACAGCCAGUCUGUGUCUGCUGAUGAUGUAAACCCAUCAGUUUCCUUACAAGACUGCAGUGGACACAGGGCCCAGGUUAACCUCUCCUACUCUGGGAACGGCCCAGAUUUGUUUGGACUGGUCUCCAGUAUCCUGGAAGAUCCAAAUGGUUCAGAACACCUGACAGAUGGAUGUUCUUGCCCUGGCAGCUGCCAUUAAAGAGCAGGCUAUUUUCACUCGCAAAGCCCGCACUGCUUUGUGGUGCGCCCUCCAGAUGACCUUGCCAGAAAACAGCGCUGGUGCCACAGCCCAGCCGGCAGAGCUUGAGAAGGCACUACAGGAGCUGUGCAGUCCUGGGCAGGGAGAGACCAAGGAUGCUCUAAAAGCCACAGAGUUUCCAGGCCCAGAGAGGAAGGGGGCUGAACCAAUAGUGCAUCAACAAGUGGAGCAAAAAGAGGAGAGGCCUUGGGCCAGCAAGAACAAGGGAGAGGAAGAGAGGGGAGAGUAAAGACAUUGAGGGUUGAAAAGUUGAGAGUGGCACACUAUGGAAAAUCUCUUGCCAUUGGAGCAAAAUCAGUUAAGCUUACUGGCUAACCCUCCACACCAUACCCACCCAAUGAUAAAAUAAACAUUUCAGAUUAACUACAUUUAUUAUUAUUAUUAUUAUUAUUAUUAAUUUCUUAGCAGACGCCCUUAUCCAGGGCGACUUACAAUCGUAAGCAAAAGCAUUUAAUAUUGGCUCAUCUACAUUAGUUGUCUACAAAAUUCUUCUUAAAGGUGUUACUUGUGUAAAUGGUUUGUAUGGAAGGUGGAAGCAUGAAAUGUGCUGCAGGAUGUCCCUCUUCAAAAGGAGAUUGCACAUCUCACUAACAUACUUUGUGCCUGGCUUGUUUUAAAUUUUUUUUUUUUUUUUUUUUUUUUUGAGGCAACAAUAUAGAAGAAAACUAUACCAAACUGAAUUUUCAGUUUUGGUUCUGUGUUAUACAACAGUAAUAUAUAAUGAGAGACAGCCAGUUGUUUGUUGCUGUCUAGCAGGUCACUACUGUAAUGCAUCCCUUUUCUAACUUGACCUCAAUUGCAUUGUUUAAAGGGUGGAACAAAACAUCUUAAACAAAUAACCACAUUUCAAAUUCUUCCAAAGACACUAGUAUGCAAUAAACCAGGAUUUCAUCUUUUGUAAAGUGUCAAAAAAAAAAAAAAAAAAGUUGCAGUAUCUGAAUGUAACUGGGUCAUUUUUCAACACAUUGAUUUUAUUAUUAUUAUUAUUAUUAUUAUUAUUAUUAUUAUUAUUAUUAUUAUUAUUAUUAUUAUUAUUAUUAUUAUUAUUAUUAUUAUUUAACUGCUGAACAGCAACGGAACAUCUACUGUUAGUUUCCAUAAUGCCCACUUUAGUUUAGACUCUAAACAUGUAAUGCAGUAUUUCUUUAUAGAAACUAGCUAUAAAAGAAAUUAAACGGUAUAGUUAAUGAUGUACAUGUGGUAUUAGUUAAUGAUAAAAAUUGAUACUCAGGAUUAGUACUUAGACCUACUAACACCUUGUGGUGGGUAAAAAAAUGAUAUUUGACUUAGUACGCACUUAAAUUAUUAUUUUAUAACUUAUAUUAUUUUAAGGGAGUACAGUUUUCAGAAGCAUUCCAUAUUUAUUUUAAUGACUAAAUUGUGUGUUAAAAAAAAAAAAAAAAAAAAACCUUUCAGGAAAAUGUACUAAGUGUUUUUUGCCAAACCUUUCUAAAUAAUCAGAUUUAACUAUUUACUCAGGAAAUAUAUUUAAUAUUUAGUUUUUUGUUUUAGUUUUAGUUUUUGCGUGCAAGGUAUUUUCAGACAGCUAACUCUAUACUAAGUUACCAAAGCUACUAUUGUUUAAUGUAGUAGCAUUUAUGAUCAAGUUUAGAUAGUCUUUGUACUUUGGCUUAGACAAUCACUAGAUUUGUAUGUCUUAAAACAUGCAAUGUGAAUGUAGGAAAAAAAAUGAAGAUCAAGAAUGGAGAAAAAUUAUGAACAGGUCAAAGUUUCUUAGCACACUACUCAAUACUGUAUUGGAAAGUUUUGAUGGUUUAAUAAUUGUCACACUGUUAGAUUUUUUAUUUGAUAUUACUAACCAUUGGUUUUGGCACUUUAGUAAUAUGUUUGAAAACAGGAUUGCAUGAGAGUCCUGGAUAAUUAAUAAGAAAUGAAUAAUGUGUAAAAAAAGGAGGAAAAACGAAGUCGUAGGGAUUGAUAUGAAAAAUACAUGAGUUGACCUUUUCAGGAUGUACCUGUAAUCUGCUCACAUGCACAUUGCAUCAGUUUAUCCACACUUUAAUUUUUUUUAAAUGGGUUCAUUGGUAAUUAUAAUUAAUUAACAAGUUGAUUUGAUAUAGUGUUAAUAGCAUUCAUUUAUGUUUGAUACCUGGGAGUUUUGUAUGAGUUUGGGGGGAUGGUUAGAACAAGGUUUAAUGUUCAAUGUCUCUAAACGAUCAUUUAGUUUGUUUUUCUUCUUUACGUUUAGCACAGGAAGUUAGAAGUGUUUGCUCUACCUCGUUUUGGCAUUCAGUUAAGGUUACAAGUCAACCUCUCAUGAAUUGCUUGCAAAUAAUCAAGCCAUGCUUUUUGUUUGUUGUGGAAGUGUCUGUCACCUCUGGGCCUUGUUACAGGCUUCUGUUAGGUUUAUAUAAGAACUGAAACUUGUGUAAGCAUCCCUUCUAGACAGUACCAAUAACUGAACCACUACUUGACCAAAUAAAUAACAAAUAUUAUCAUUAUAAUUUAUAAAGAUGUCAUAAAGCUUAUCACAGAUGUUAUAUACAUUACCUCUAAGCCAGUAAUGUUAUUAAGUUAACUUUUUUUUUUUUUUUUUACUAAAACUGGGAAUAUAACAUUGUAAAGUGUUUAUUGUUUACUCUGAUCUGUUUCUUGGAAAUUGAUUUAGCAGAUGAUUAUUAAUAUUGUUUGUAAGAUAUGAGUGCUUCCUGAAUAGAGGCAACAAAAUGUUGAUUUUCUUGUGGAUUGGGAAUGUGUUUACGAUGUGUGUUUUGUUUGUUUCUUUGGGUAAUUUUAUGUGGUUUUUGCUAUAGAUGUUUUAACAUUUACUAAUACUUUAAUUUGAAUAAGAGUAUAUUCCAUUAUAUGAUAAGCAAGCCUUUUAAUAAUUUCCCAAAACGGUAGAACUGUGUGAACACUAAAUUCUAGAGCCUUCAUAUGGCUCAGUCCGUGCUACCAGCUGUUAUUUAAAACAAGAGCAUUGUGAUUGCUGAGGUGUUUUGUUUAUUUGUAUCGAAGCAACUCACCAGUUUGGUGUUUAUUACAGUAAGCGGCAGCACAGUUAACAUGUAGCAUGUUAGUUUUACUUUAUGUAAAGUAAUAAUAUACCUCUAGUAAAUUGGAUAUUCAAAGGGCAUGUGACAUUGCAGCAAACAUGGAGUUUCUAAGAUGAUGAUCUGGGAUUAAGAAAACAGAUGUACAAUUCUCAUGUUUCAUUUCUUUCUUGUUUACUGGUCUGAUUGGAAAUGUGUGUGGGCUUUUUUUUUUUUUUUUUUAAAUCGCCUUAAAUCUAAUCGUGUUAACUCCAGGUUUUAAUUGGACACAUUUUUCCACACUGGCAUUAGGUCUGAAAUAAGUUUUUAUUUUUUUGUUUUAAAAUGAAUAUUUAUUGCCCUUUAGGAAAUACAAAUAUAUUGCAUAUGCUUAACGGUAUUAGAAAUAUGCCUAAUGAGGUAUGUCAAUAAUCCAUACUGGAACCUUCGCAGUUUCCAUGGAUUUAUGUGACCCAGGGGUGAAGUAACUGCAGUGGUUGUCUGUCAUCCAGUAGUGUCUUGGAGUGAAACAUGUCAUUUGGAAAUGCUAAUAUAUAUAUAUAUAAAUAUAUAUAUAUAUAUAUAGCUGUGCAGGACAAGGCAACUUCUAGAUUGUUGGUGGCUGGAUUCUUAAGUCUCGUAAGUGACCAUUCUUAGUGCAACAUUGCAUAACCUUUUCAUACACUUUCGAAAUGGAAUUUUGAUACUUUUUCUAAAUGGAAUUUAAAAAAAAGGCUUAUGUUUUAAACUAUGUAUUAACUGUUAAUUUAAGGGCUGUUUUUGAAAAAUGUUUUUACAUAGUUUUGAAACACUUUUAAAUGUGUGGGUUCCCCCCCCCCCCCCCCCAAAUUUAGGAAAAAAGUUAAGGAGAUUUUGAAACAAGUGAGAAAAGCUUAGUUUAAUAUAGACCUUGUAGUUUGAAUUGGCGGGGGUCUUGAUCAGGCUGCUUUUAGGUUUUGAGUAAGUAAGAUGUGCUGAAUGAUGAGGUCACUGAUCUGGUAGUGAGCAGAGCUUUUGCUUUCUCAGAAGGGGAGUGGAGGUUUUACUUUACAUCUGUUGAUACAAACCCCAGCAGUAGUUGUGUGGUGUUGUUAUUGUUGUUUUUUUUUUGGGGGCAAAAUAAUAGAGUAUUAAAAUAGUGACUUGCAUCAGAGGGCUAAGUGAUUUAGCACGCAUUUGUUUUCAUUUUUCGUUUUUUUUUCCCCCAUUUUUUUUUUUCUUUCUCCAGGCUGUGGUUAAAGAAAAGAACUUGUAACCGGGAGGUCACUGGUUCAAAUCCUGGCUCACUCACUGACUCACUGUGUGACCUUGAGCAAGUCACUUAACCUCAGUGUGCUCUGUCUUUCAGGCGAGAUGUUGUAAGUGACUGCCGCUGAUGCAUAGUUCCCACACCCUAGUCUCUGUACGUUGCCUUGGAUAAAGGCAUCUGCUAAAUAAUAAUAAUUUAUAAAUGAAAGUGUUCCUUCAGAAUUGUGGGUUGGGGUCAGGCACACAAGGUUUUGGGUUUUUGACCACGUCGUCCCCACAAACUUGGGUGACCAUGGUCAUGCCCUAUGCUAUUUAUUAUAAGGGGAGUUUGAAACAGGACAGUAUGAGAAGAAUUGUUUGUAAACCUCUGUCUCUGUUGGAGGCAAUCGUGCACCUUUCACAAGCAUUAAAUGUGUUCUGUUUUAUGUCAGGAUAUUUUAUUCCUGAUUAGCAGAGGGACAUUCAUCUUGUCUGUUUUGUAUCCUAAACCAGUUUUGUUGGUAGAUGUUGCAUUGCAGAGUCUUAACCCCGAUCAUCAUUGCAACUCUAUGGCAACAGGGUAGUAUUAGAGUUUUUUUAGCAUUUUGUGGUCAUUUGAUUGUAAUUAUCUAGACUUUAUUGUGUGUGUGUGUGUGUGUGUGUGU
Molecule: long non-coding RNA, 5748 nt
Organism: Acipenser ruthenus (sterlet)
Lineage: Eukaryota; Metazoa; Chordata; Actinopteri; Acipenseriformes; Acipenseridae
Exons: 5
Source: RefSeq, a predicted model, not a curated record